Molecule: long non-coding RNA, 466 nt
Organism: Gymnogyps californianus (California condor)
Lineage: Eukaryota; Metazoa; Chordata; Aves; Accipitriformes; Cathartidae
Exons: 3
Source: RefSeq, a predicted model, not a curated record
AAUAAUGGCAGAGCCUCGCAGCACCCUUUGAUGGACCUUUGAAAACUGCCCCUUCCCCACGUAAGAUGGAGAAACUGAGACAGCAUUGUAAAAAUUGCUCCAAUUUAUAUACAGGAUUCCUGCAGUUGCUUGCUGGAGUAAGUGGAAUAGUGUUACUCUGGAUGGUUAUGAGGCAAAAUGAACAAAUAUUAACGGAAACACAAACAAGACACAGGACUGAAAGAUGUUCUGUAUGCUCUGUCGAAAACUGCUAAACUCGUCCAAAAUUCAUUUGCUCCUGAACUUCUGGUUCCUCUGCUACCCUGUAGUUGCUAACAGCAGCUCCUGCAGUGGUGCAGUACUCACAUCCUCUCUCCCUCUGUUCUUUUCCUUUUUUUUUUUUUUUUUUAAACAUUAUUACAUGCUCAAAUCCAACCAGCUCAAAUACUUUUUAAUACAUUGAAAAUGUAAAAUAAAGAAUAUAUGA